UCGGGUCUAGUGGCGCACGGGUGCGUAACGCGUGGGAAUCUGCCCCUUGGUUCGGAAUAACAGUUAGAAGUGACUGCUAAUACCGGAUAAUGUCUUCGGACCAAAGAUUUAUCGCCAAGGGAUGAGCCCGCGUAGGAUUAGCUAGUUGGUGAGGUAAAAGCUCACAAAGGCGACGAUCCUUAGCUGGUCUGAGAGGAUGAUCAGCCACACUGGGACUGAGACACGGCCCAGACUCCUACGGGAGGCAGCAGUGGG
This 255-nucleotide ribosomal RNA is filed under the name uncultured Sphingomonas sp. Its description in RNAcentral is "partial 16S ribosomal RNA". It matches the Rfam family "Bacterial small subunit ribosomal RNA", at positions 86 to 358 of the family's 1533-position model. The record is from RNAcentral. Lineage: Bacteria; Pseudomonadati; Pseudomonadota; Alphaproteobacteria; Sphingomonadales; Sphingomonadaceae.